RNAcentral lists this long non-coding RNA (273 nucleotides) under Nicotiana benthamiana. Its description in RNAcentral is "long non-coding RNA (NBEN_LNC009882)". Lineage: Eukaryota; Viridiplantae; Streptophyta; Magnoliopsida; Solanales; Solanaceae. The record is from RNAcentral.
UUGAGAUAAGAGAUGCUACAUGAUUUAGCUUUGUAUAGACUUGUAUAUUUUAUGUAUACUCAGUGUAUAUUGUAGAUAUAUUUUCGGAAUUGGGUUGUAACUGGGCUGUGAUGAUUUGUGUGUCUGAGCCCAAUGUCCAUUAUUUAAUUUUGAGCCGUAUCACCCGAUCCGACCCGUCCAUGUGUAAUAACUAUAUAUGUAGGUGAGAUAUUUUCUCACCUACCGAGACUCAUUCUUUCAUUUCAUUUUCUGUAAUAUACUUCUCUCAUCUUC